CAAAUUACGUAUAUCUCGUCUCCUUCUCGGGACCAAAUCCAACUGUCAACUGUAAUCUUCCCUUCCGCCACCGCCGUCUAGGGACUGCGUUUAAACUGCCCGUGUUUUGCUCAUUUUUUGUGCAUUUUCGAGGAGAUCCCAUGCCCCUUAUGUGUCCAGACGAAAAGGUGUGCUGGAGUGGCCAAGGAACACACCUGCACGUCACCUAGAGCGGAGUGGAGUGGAGUGCCAAGGCUGAGGAUGGGACAGUGGGUGAUGGUGGAAAGAAAGUACCAGACAGUAACCCGCAGCCGCGCCCCACGGACCCGACCACUGCUUUGUGCAUCAUUAGGAGAGAAUGAACUGCUGAACAACUUACGUCAUAAAU
Molecule: long non-coding RNA, 367 nt
Organism: Portunus trituberculatus (swimming crab)
Lineage: Eukaryota; Metazoa; Arthropoda; Malacostraca; Decapoda; Portunidae
Exons: 3
Source: RefSeq, a predicted model, not a curated record